GCGCCUGUAGCUCAGUUGGAUAGAGCAACGGACUUCUAAUCAGUAGGCCGCAGGUUCGAAUCCUGCUAGGCGCGCCA
This 77-nucleotide transfer RNA is filed under the name Ghiorsea sp. RNAcentral's name for it is "tRNA-Arg". It matches the Rfam family "tRNA". Rfam says of the family: Transfer RNA (tRNA) molecules are approximately 80 nucleotides in length. The record is from RNAcentral. Lineage: Bacteria; Pseudomonadati; Pseudomonadota; Candidatius Mariprofundia; Mariprofundales.